GCCUGGGUGGCUCAGUCGGUUAAGCAUCUGACUCUUGAUUUCAGUUCAGGUCACGAUCUCAGAAUUCAUGAGAUCGAACCCCACCUCAGGCU
This 92-nucleotide transfer RNA is filed under the name Felis catus (domestic cat). It matches the Rfam family "tRNA". From Rfam's summary of the family: Transfer RNA (tRNA) molecules are approximately 80 nucleotides in length. Their secondary structure includes four short double-helical elements and three loops (D, anti-codon, and T loops). Further hydrogen bonds mediate the characteristic L-shaped molecular structure. tRNAs have two regions of fundamental functional importance: the anti-codon, which is responsible for specific mRNA codon recognition, and the 3' end, to which the tRNAs corresponding amino acid is attached (by aminoacyl-tRNA synthetases). tRNAs cope with the degeneracy of the genetic code in two manners: having more than one tRNA (with a specific anti-codon) for a particular amino acid; and 'wobble' base-pairing, i.e. permitting non-standard base-pairing at the 3rd anti-codon position. The record is from Rfam by way of RNAcentral. Lineage: Eukaryota; Metazoa; Chordata; Mammalia; Carnivora; Felidae. RNAcentral also lists the same sequence under 3 other names.